This 329-nucleotide unclassified non-coding RNA is filed under the name soil metagenome. RNAcentral's name for it is "partial contains 5.8S ribosomal RNA, internal transcribed spacer 2, and large subunit ribosomal RNA". The stretch from base 1 to 120 matches the Rfam family "5.8S ribosomal RNA", at positions 35 to 154 of the family's 154-position model. The record is from RNAcentral.
GAUGAAGAACGUAGCGAAAUGCGAUACGUAAUGUGAAUUGCAGAAUUCAGUGAAUCAUCGAAUCUUUGAACGCACAUUGCGCCCCCUGGUAUUCCGGGGGGCAUGCCUGUCCGAGCGUCAUUACAACCCUCAAGCUCAGCUUGGUGUUGGGCCCCGCCGCCCCGGCGGGCCCUAAAGUCAGUGGCGGUGCCGUCCGGCUCCGAGCGUAGUAAUUCUUCUCGCUCUGGAGGCCCGGUCGUGUGCUCGCCAGCAACCCCCAAUUUUUUUCAGGUUGACCUCGGAUCAGGUAGGGAUACCCGCUGAACUUAAGCAUAUCAAUAAGCGGAGGA